RNAcentral lists this ribosomal RNA (332 nucleotides) under uncultured bacterium. RNAcentral describes it as "SSU rRNA". It matches the Rfam family "Bacterial small subunit ribosomal RNA", at positions 26 to 376 of the family's 1533-position model. The record is from RNAcentral.
AGGAUGAAUGCUGGCGGCGCGCCUAACACAUGCAAGUCGAGCGGUAAGGCCCUUAGGGGUACACGAGCGGCGGACGGCUGAGUAACGCGUGGGAACAUGCCCCAAAGUGAGGAAUAACUGCCCGAAAGGGUAGCUAAUGCCGCAUAUGAUCUUAGGAUUAAAGGAUUUAUCCGCUUUGGGAGUGGCCUGCGUACGAUUAGAUAGUUGGUGAGGUAAAGGCUCACCAAGUCUACGAUCGUUAACUGUUCUGAGAGGAUGAUCAGUCAGACUGGAACUGAGACACGGUCCAGACUCCUACGGGAGGCAGCAGUGAGGAAUCUUCCACAAUGGGC